This 223-nucleotide long non-coding RNA is filed under the name Manacus vitellinus (golden-collared manakin). RNAcentral's name for it is "lncRNA (ENSMVIG00005003618.1)". The record is from RNAcentral. Lineage: Eukaryota; Metazoa; Chordata; Aves; Passeriformes; Pipridae.
AGACUGAGGAUGCAGAACACCAGCAUCUCCAAAUGGCUGCUGCUCAUCUCCUGGAUGCCCCACCUGGAGCAGAUUAGAAUAUUCAGACAUACUGAAUAAUGAAAGAGGAAGGCUCUAUUACCUUCUUGGUAAUAUUCCUACAGCGCAUGCUGGGAACCUUUCUGGGGAAAACCCAGUGUAGCUCUGGAGCUGCAGUCCUUCUCAAGAGCAACGAAUAUGCCAG